This 1382-nucleotide ribosomal RNA is filed under the name uncultured bacterium. Its description in RNAcentral is "partial 16S ribosomal RNA". It matches the Rfam family "Bacterial small subunit ribosomal RNA". The record is from RNAcentral.
AGAGUUUGAUCCUGGCUCAGGACGAACGCUGGCGGCAUGCCUAACACAUGCAAGUCGAACGGACGAGGGGAGCUUGCUCCCUAAGUUAGUGGCGGACGGGUGAGUAACGCGUGGGCAACCUACCUUCUACUGGGGAAUAACAGACGGAAACGUCUGCUAAUACCGCAUAAUAUAGUUUCAGGGCAUCCUGUGAACUAUCAAAGAUUUUAUCGGUGGAAGAUGGGCCCGCGUCCGAUUAGCUAGUUGGUGAUGUAACGGACCACCAAGGCGACGAUCGGUAGCCGGACUGAGAGGUCGAACGGCCACAUUGGGACUGAGACACGGCCCAGACUCCUACGGGAGGCAGCAGUGGGGAAUAUUGCACAAUGGGCGCAAGCCUGAUGCAGCAAUGCCGCGUGAGGGAUGAAGGUUUUCGGAUUGUAAACCUCUUUGGGGGCUGAAAAACAAAAUGAUGGUAAGCCCUUAACAAGCCACGGCUAACUACGUGCCAGCAGCCGCGGUAAUACGUAGGGGGCAAGCGUUAUCCGGAUUUACUGGGUGUAAAGGGAGCGUAGACGGUAAACCAAGUCUGAAGUGAAAGCCCGGGGCUCAACCCCGGAACUGCUUUGGAAACUGGUUAACUAGAGUGCAGGAGAGGUAAGUGGAAUUCCAAGUGUAGCGGUGAAAUGCGUAGAGAUUUGGAGGAACACCAGUGGCGAAGGCGACUUUCUGGUCUGUAACUGACACUGAGGCGCGAAAGCGUGGGGAGCAAACAGGAUUAGAUACCCUGGUAGUCCACGCCGUAAACGAUGAGUGCUAAGUGUUAGAGGGUUUCCGCCCUUUAGUGCUGCAGCUAACGCAUUAAGCACUCCGCCUGGGGAGUACGACCGCAAGGUUGAAACUCAAAGGAAUUGACGGGGGCCCGCACAAGCGGUGGAGCAUGUGGUUUAAUUCGAAGCAACGCGAAGAACCUUACCAGGUCUUGACAUCCUUUGACCACCCUAGAGAUAGGGCUUUCCCUUCGGGGACAAAGUGACAGGUGGUGCAUGGUUGUCGACAGCUCGUGUCGUGAGAUGUUGGGUUAAGUCCCGCAACGAGCGCAACCCUCGUUCUAUGUUGCCAGCGGGUUAUGCCGGGGACUCAUAGGAGACUGCCGGGGUCAACUCGGAGGAAGGUGGGGACGACGUCAAAUCAUCAUGCCCCUUAUGUCUUGGGCUUCACGCAUGCUACAAUGGCCGGUACAAAGGGUUGCGAUACUGUGAGGUGGAGCUAAUCCCAAAAAGCCGGUCUCAGUUCGGAUUGAGGUCUGCAACUCGACCUCAUGAAGUUGGAGUCGCUAGUAAUCGCAGAUCAGCAACGCUGCGGUGAAUACGUUCCCGGGCCUUGCACUCACCGCCCGUCAA